GUCAUAUGCUUGUCUCAAAGAUUAAGCCAUGCAUGUCUCAGUACAAGCCAAAUUAAGGUGAAACCGCGAAAGGCUCAUUAAAUCAGUUAUGGUUCCUUAGAUCGUACCCACAAUUACUUGGAUAACUGUGGUAAUUCUAGAGCUAAUACAUGCAAACAGAGCUCCGACCGGAGACGGAAGGAGUGCUUUUAUUAGAUCAAAACCAAUCGGUGGCGGGUUCGCGCUCGUUAUCGUACAACUUGGUGACUCUGAAUAACUUUACGCUGAUCGCACGGUCAUCGCACCGGCGACGCAUCUUUCAAAUGUCUGCCUUAUCAACUGUCGAUGGUAGGUUCUGCGCCUACCAUGGUUGUAACGGGUAACGGGGAAUCAGGGUUCGAUUCCGGAGAGGGAGCCUGAGAAACGGCUACCACAUCCAAGGAAGGCAGCAGGCGCGCAAAUUACCCACUCCCGGCACGGGGAGGUAGUGACGAAAAAUAACGAUACGGGACUCAUCCGAGGCCCCGUAAUCGGAAUGAGUACACUCUAAACCCUUUAACGAGGAUCAAUUGGAGGGCAAGUCUGGUGCCAGCAGCCGCGGUAAUUCCAGCUCCAAUAGCGUAUAUUAAAGU
Molecule: ribosomal RNA, 611 nt
Filed under: Trigonopterus sp. 570 AR-2022a
Lineage: Eukaryota; Metazoa; Arthropoda; Insecta; Coleoptera; Curculionidae
Description: SSU rRNA
Rfam family: Eukaryotic small subunit ribosomal RNA
Source: RNAcentral